Molecule: long non-coding RNA, 291 nt
Organism: Papaver somniferum (opium poppy)
Lineage: Eukaryota; Viridiplantae; Streptophyta; Magnoliopsida; Ranunculales; Papaveraceae
Exons: 3
Source: RefSeq, a predicted model, not a curated record
UUGCAGAGCUGAUAUAUGGUCAUUUGGGAUAAACUGCUUUAGAGUUGGCCCAUGGUCAUGCUCCCUUCUCGAAGUACCCUCCGAUAAAGGUGGUUGGAGCUGCAGUACUUGUGAACAGCUGGGUAUCUGAUUUAGACCUACAACGGUUAUCCGCAAUGGAAAACUACUGGCACAGGAACUUCUGGAAAAGUAUAAAGAUAUGCAAGAGGCAAUAUGCAUUCAAUUUCACGCACACCAAGCUGCUAAUGGAGAUGCCACACAUGCGGUGUCAGAGACUUAAAUGCUCUAUGA